Molecule: long non-coding RNA, 513 nt
Organism: Myotis brandtii (Brandt's bat)
Lineage: Eukaryota; Metazoa; Chordata; Mammalia; Chiroptera; Vespertilionidae
Exons: 2
Source: RefSeq, a predicted model, not a curated record
AUUUAAUUGUAUCUUAAUGCAAUCUUGUGUUCUAUCUUCUUUUAUAAGGACUAUUUCAUCUCUCUUUUAAAUUGUUAUGAUUUCAUUUCCUAAACUUUUAAUUGUUUUUGUUGCAUUAUUUUGACAUUAAGUUCUUUCCCUGUCUCUAGACUAGAUGCCGAGUUUUGCAAGAGUGUGUCCACCGCCCAGGGUCUUUGGGAAGUUUAAUUUAUCACCUCUCAUGAAAACUAGAAGGUUCAAUAAACAGCCCUCCUAGGUUUCUACUUCCCUCCCUGCGGUACCUGCAUCCUCCCUGCCCAGUCCAAUGAUUUCACUCUUCAGAAAUGCUGAGUCCUGUGCCAGGGCUGCCAUGGUCACCAUGGAAAGAAGUCUCAGGAUGGGUCAAACAAGGACUAAAAGGUGGCCUUUGGGUCUGAGCCUUCUUCUUUCACAGAGCGCAGGAGGGAUGGUGGUGGUAGUGCAGUGGCGUGGUUAACAAUGCAAUGGAGUAAAAUAGAUUCGAGUUAAACUCUG